RNAcentral lists this ribosomal RNA (367 nucleotides) under uncultured eukaryote. Its description in RNAcentral is "partial 18S ribosomal RNA". It matches the Rfam family "Eukaryotic small subunit ribosomal RNA", at positions 592 to 976 of the family's 1831-position model. The record is from RNAcentral.
CAAUAGCGUAUAUUAAAGUUGUUGCAGUUAAAAAGCUCGUAGUUGAAGUUCUGGCUGUAUGGGCCUUUGUACUAGAUACGAAAGCACCAGCAGUCAUCCGCUUGCAAAUACAUGUCCUUCCUUAACCGGUAGGCUGUAUGAGUAAGCAUUUUACCUUGAGAAAAACAGAGUGUCCCAGGCAGGUUUGUCCGGAAUGCAUUAGCAUGGAAUAAUAGAAUAUGACUGAAGUCGAUUUAUUGGUUUGAGGCUUUAGUAAUGAUUAAUAGGAACAAUCGGGGGCAUUAGUACUUGCCAGUCAGAGGUGAAAUUCUAAGAUUUGGCAAAGACUAACUGAUGCGAAAGCGUUUGCCAAGGAUGUUUUCAUUAA